Platichthys flesus (European flounder) is the source of this 6414-nucleotide RNA transcript. It is a transcript of the gene named ubiquitin specific peptidase 54b, with no coding region annotated. Lineage: Eukaryota; Metazoa; Chordata; Actinopteri; Pleuronectiformes; Pleuronectidae. The transcript is spliced from 20 exons. The record is from RefSeq and is a predicted model, not a curated record.
GAAGAAAGUACUGAAGGAGUCUCCACAUGGGAGCACCAGCGCUGCCUCAUCAACGUCUAUCCGACAGCACCGGCCAAAGGACGCCUUGGACACGCUCUCAUGUCCUCAGACACGAACCGCUAAAUCCAAGGAGCUAAAAAAAGAAAAAAAGAAAAGCCGACUGCUGGCGCCAGCAAGUGGACAGACUUUAAAGUGAAAACACGGCUGGAGAGGGGGAGGGGUGUAUGGGUGCCAAAUCCCCGGUCAAGACACACCACAUCUCCUUGAUCUACCGCCGCCACCUCCUUCCUCUUCCUCCCUCCAUUUCCUUGUCCUCCGCUUGUCUCUCAUUCUCCCUCGUUCUCUCUCAUGGGAGUGACAUAGAGGCCGGCGCUUGGUCUGCUGCCCCGCCCCUUCCCCGCCUCAGCGUGGAAACGGGGGCGUCCAGGUAGGGAUGUCGUGGAAGAGGAACUAUUUUGCGUCGGGCGGCGGAGCAGCAGGUGCGGCGCAGGGGCUGGUGACCCCGAGAACCAUGACCUCUAUUGCACCCAGCAAAGGCCUGAGCAACGAACCGGGACAGAACAGCUGCUUCCUCAACAGCGCUCUGCAGGUUCUGUGGCAUCUCGACAUCUUUCGCCGAAGCUUUCGACAGCUGACAACACACAAGUGCAUGGAGGACUCGUGCAUCUUCUGCGCUUUAAAGAGUAUCUUUGCUCAGUUCCAGUUCAGCAGUGAGCGUGUGCUGCCAUCAGAUGCACUGCGGAGCGCUCUGGCCAAGACUUUCCAAGACGAACAACGCUUUCAGCUGGGUAUCAUGGACGACGCUGCUGAGUGCUUCGAGAAUCUCCUGAUGCGUAUCCACUUCCACAUCAGCGCGGAGAGUCGAGAGGACAUCUGCACCGCCAAACACUGCAUACCACACCAGAAGUUUGCCAUGACUCUGUUCGAACAGUGUGUGUGUAACAGCUGUGGAGCCACAUCAGACCCCCUGCCCUUCAUUCAGAUGGUUCAUUACAUCUCCACUACAUCCCUCUGUAACCAGGCGGUGAGGAUGCUGGAAUGCAGAGAGAAGGCCACACCGGACAUGUUUGGAGAACUGCUCCGCAAUGCCAGCAACAUGGGAGACCUGCGCAAUUGCCCUAGUAACUGUGGGGAGGUGCUGCGUAUCCGUCGGGUGCUGAUGAACUCACCGGAGAUUGUGUCCAUCGGGUUGGUGUGGGAUUCAGACCACUCUGACCUGGCCGAGGACGUCAUACACAGCCUGGGGACUUGCCUUCGUUUGGGAGAUUUGUUCUACCGUGUGACAGAGGAGAGGGCUCGCCAGGCGGAGCUCUAUUUGGUGGGCAUGGUGUGCUACUACGGCAAGCACUACUCCACCUUCUUCUUCCAGACCAAGAUACGCAAGUGGAUGUACUUCGACGACGCCCACGUCAAAGAGAUUGGCCCGAAGUGGAAGGACGUUGUGUCUCGCUGUAUCAAAGGCCACUAUCAGCCCCUGCUGCUGCUCUACGCUGACCCCCGUGGGACGCCUGUGAUACUGCAGGAGAGCCCCAACCCCUGUACCAGCUCCAACCCGCAGCUGGAGCUCCAGCACUGCAGCAGCAAGGCCGGUUACGACAGCGAAGACUCCGGUCGGGAGCCGUCCAUAUCCAGCGACACUCGCACUGACUCCUCGACGGAGAGCUCCAGCCACCGCGCCUCCCGCAGCCGGCCUCUCCACCAGUCCACAGGCAGUCACCUCUCCAGUGAAUCCCAGACCACAGUGGUCUGCAAUUACGACAUUGGCACACCACCACACAGUGCUGACGCCAGAGAGUCAGCGGUGGAGGGUCCUCCCUGCCCCCCCUCUCCUCCCCUGCCGGAGUACAAGGAGACGGCUGUCUUCCUCCUCUCCUCCCGCCGGCCCCUGACCUCCUCCUCCUCCUCCUCUCGUCCCCUGUCCUCCUCCUCCUCGUCAGGAGUAGGGGGCUGUGAGAGUGGGGCAGGUGGCCCCCACUGGGAGGAUGAAAGCACCAGCAGCGAGAGCAAGUCCAGUUCUUCUGGAGGCCGCUACAGGCCAACCUGGAGGCCCAGGAGAGAGGCCCUGAACAUCGACAGCAUCUUCACCCGCCAGCGAGGCUCCUCUCUGGGCUACAACACGCUGCCUGGUCCCUCUCUCCGUCCAGAGCCCCACGACUCCCUCCCUUUGGCGGGACCCGCUCCACCCAUCCAGCCAGGGCUGCAAGACGUAGAAGAGAGGGACAUCAGGGAGUUGGAGGUGGGGUUUGGGUUGGUCGGGCAGCCCAGGUCUCUUGGCAGCGGGCGGACCAUGGGUCCCCCUGCUCCUCCACCUCUGAGAGGGGUGGAGCACCAGCCGCGUCUGAUCCAGAGGAUGGAGAGUGGCUACGAGAGCAGCGAGAGGAACAGCAGCAGUCCAGACAGGGAGGUGGGGCAACAGAAACGGGCGCUAAUGUCGGGACCUUCAUGGCGUUCGGUGCCCAAGUCAAAGAGCAGCGGUGCCAUCCUGCAGGAGCUGCCCUCGCCCAGCUGGGGUAGGGUCACCAGCACAGGGCGCAGCGAGCUGGACGAGCUGCAGGAGGAGGUGGCGAGGAGAGCCCGACAGCAGGAGCAGCAGAAGCGGAGGGAGGCCGAGCGGGAGGCCGCCAUGGGAUUCAACCCCAAACCCAGCAAAUUCAUGGACCUGGACCAGCUCCAACACCAGGCUGUGCUCAGACCCCUGCAUGAGGCUAACGCUCAUAGCGGAUUGGCUGUAGCUGCGUGCAUGAGGAGCACUGGGGGCCCAAUCAAACGCAGGCAGGAACAGGAAAUGGAACUGGAGGCAGGAAGGGCCCGUCCACAGGGGCCUCACAGUGAACAGCCUGGCCCGGUCCAAGUACUGCUGACGCCCAAUCAGGAGGAGGAAGAGGACCCGGCAGUGCCCAACCAGGAUGCUGCUCAGGGCCCGGACCCACCCCCUCCACCCUAUCGGCUACCUGCUGCCCCUCGACCCCCGUUCACCCUCCACAUCGCUCACCCUUGCGCCCCUUCCGGCCAAGGGGGGGAGGAGGAGGAGGGCGGCAGAUGCGUGGGCAGGAGAAGGGAGGAAGAGGAGGAUGGGAUGGAGGGCACAGGGGUGAGGCUGUGUGAGUUGCUGCAGGCAGGGGGGGUGAGUGUCAGACCUCUGGGGAAGCACCUAGCCAUCUCUUUGCCCUCGCUUCCUCUGCGUCUCUGGGAUACACACGCCACACACACCGCACACUCCACACACCUUGAACCCACACACACACCCCCUACCCCUCUGCCCUCCACUCCUCCCCCGUCCUCCCCUCUGGAAGCCUCUGGGCAAAGGAGACCUCCCGCGCCGCUGUGGCAGCCCCCCCGGCCCCAGUCCCCCACUGUCGUCUCUCAGCACUGGCCGAGGCACGGAGCCGCCUCCGACAGCGGCAUGCGCCAUUGGUCCUCCUGGAGCUUGGACCGCCCUGACGCCGUGGUAACGCCAUACAGCACGCCCCCAGACUGCUGCGUACCAUUCAGGCCACAGGCGUCCAGCCAGAACUGCAGCUACAGUUGCCAGUCCUCUCCAGGGCACUACAGCUCCCAGCAUGCUCCAGGGCAACACGGUGACCCGCGCUGUGACCGCGAAGAGGCUGAGCUGUCUGAGCUUGACUCCCUUUACCAAGCCAGUCUGCAGGCCAGAAAGACAGGCUGCAGCCCAUCAGAGAGGCUCAUAUCCAGGGUGGGAGGACAGGCUCGCUCAAAGACCCCCAACGCGGACAUGGAGAGGAGUGUGUACGGGGCAGACUCUACCAGCACCCCCACCUACCUCAACAAGCCGAUGAUGUUGCAGGAUCUGCGUUUAGGGGCGGAGCCGGAUGACGGGGAAAAUCUGAGGCAAAUGGGACGCAGCCUGAGCGGCACUGUAGUGACCUCUCGCCGCAGCCGCCUGACUGCAACCCGCAGCUUUGUGAAGCAGAGUGAUGUCAGUGCCUCUCCUUGCUUACUUCCUCUCUUCUGAGUCCCUGUUGCUAUUUCACCACUGUCAUCUCCUCCAUCAUCCUCAUCACCAACACCUUCUCAUGACCACCUCCCUCCACUGCUUUACAGGAGCUGUCGAGCAAUGCAGGGAGUUUCUGGCUGUGUCUGACGGGGGUCAAGCUGUCGUCUGACCAGAGUCCCGCUCUGCUUCACUAACGUCUCGCCGUGUCCACUUCCACACGUGGGGGGGGGGAAGCUUCGGGUCACGGACCUGGCUCAGGAGGAUUGACCUCAGCUGCGAUCCCGUUCUUUCCCCCAUCUCCCUCUCACGACAUGCACACGCAGACACAUGCACGCUCACAUGCACAUCUGCACUGACGUACAGCCUCCCUCAGCGCCUGCAGCACCCUGCUUAGCCCCCUCCCUCCCCUACUUUUACCUACUAAUCUGUCUAUGCAGUCACUCUGACCCCAACUACAACCUCAAGCUUCCCCCUUUCUUCCCUGGACUGUUCUUUCUUGACUCCCCCUGGGUUUUUCGAGGGAUCCCCUAGUGCAGUCAACCUGGCGAGCCUCGCCACUUUAAGUAGCCUUGUCAGUUUGAUGUCGGCGGGGCACUGGCUGAGUCUGACUAGGACCUGAGCUCUCAGCGGACUUGCCCUCCAUCCCAACCGGAGCCCUCAGCUCAGGGGGAGGCUCUUACCAAGUAGCCACGCCUCUUCCUCUUUCUUCACGGGCAUUUCAUGUUGGACGCACACGUAGCCGAAACUGGGUCUGUUUCAAAUGAGCAGCCAUAUUUUUUCUCUCUUUUGUUUUUAGGGUUUGUCUUAUUAUUAUUUUUCUUCCUGUGUGCUCGCACAGUUAACCCGCCCGAGACCGAACUCUCGACUAAGAGUCAUGUACAGAAAAACUCAUGUAUGAAACCUGUAUGUUAAUUAAUAAGACCUUAUGGAAUGUUGAUAAUGAUAAUUAACGAAUAUUGAUAAACUUAAAGUGGUACUUCCUCAUGUCUGCAUUUCAUAUACAAGUGGAGUGCACUUCACAAGUGUCUAGCUGGAGUUUCCGCCCCCCCUUAAACCUCUCGCCGAUCUUAAUGACAGCUCUCCCGUUUCUACCGGGAGAUUAAGCGAGAAAAGCGCUUCCUUUUUCUCUCUGCUUCUUACCUCUACUCCUUUCCUCUCUCGCACUCUUUUAUUCUUCGCGCGCUUUCUUCCUUACGAAGAGGCAAUGGUAGCACCAGAGAUAGGCCAGCAGGGGAGGAAAGUCGAGAAGGAGCGAGAGGAUGUAUGUUAGGAAAGCCUUCCUCUUCGGCUUUAUCGAUGAAAAGAGUAGAAUACUCAAGUGCGCUUUGUGAGAUGAUGACUUGGCAGAAGAAGUGCACUUUGCGAGGGCUGUUUGAGCGAGAGCGAUUGAUGUGGUUUGUUUUACUUAAAGGCCUCAGGUGACCUUCAGUGGCACUUAUGAAUUCACACUUUAUUAUUUUUCUCACCCGCUGAAAACACUGAACGUUUUUUGAGAUCUCAGAAAAAAAACUCAUCUUCAAAAAAUAAUCUUCAGCCUGAGACAGUGACAUGUCGAAUAUGAAUAUACUUUAUAUGAUAUGUAUGUAUUAGAGGUAUAUUUUCAGCCAGUGAGCUAUCUUCUUUAGAGAUGUCAACCAUUCCUCAGUUGUAUGAACACUUAUUAUACGGUAAUGAACAGGUAUGAUAUCAUUCACUACCCCCUUUACUAAGUAGCAUUCUGACAUGUGUAGAUUUAUUAUUAUGUUUAUUCUAUUAAAUAUCAUAUGAAAUAACAAAGUCCUUACUCAAGAACUUGCCAAUGUGAAGUUCUUCAAGAAUUUACUGAUGUUGAUUGAUCGUUGUAACUAAACCAAAGGUUGGCACUUAACUCAGAGAGCGUAUUUAACAUCAGUUUUUCAUUUCCCUUUCUGAUUUUGUCAAUGUUUUUUAUUGUUUGUUUUUUUGGGGGGGGGAACUGGAUGUGGGAGAAUGUAGCCAAUUGUAGCGCAUGAGUCCGCUAUGCAAAUCAACCUUCCCUCACAAUCCUGUAUCAGAGACAGUCAGGAGGCAGACACACCCGCCCCACCCACGGGGGGCGCUCUCACGGACUCUGGUAGAGGCCUGGAGAGGAGGAGGAUGAGAUACUUCAUGUUCAAUGCUGCUGGUGAACUUUGUUGCUCUGCAUCUACGUCUACGUUUCAUCCAAUGGAAUGCAAAAAGAGAGCAGCAAGCGUGGCGAGAGCGCCGUACGGAGCACGAGAGCGAAUGAAUGUAAACUAAAGGAUGAAAGUGUGUUUUGUUUGCGAAUGACAUGAUGGUCAGAGACAGAGAAGGGUGGAGAGUAACGCUGAUGAUGGUUUCUUGUUUGUGGGUGUGUGUAGACUAUGUGUGUCAGUUCUGGGGUGUUGUUGCUCGGGGAAAGAGGGAACCUGUAUUUUUGCAAUAAAGUUAUUACCAAUGCACUCCCACAGGGGGCGUAA